GGUUAAGUGACUAAGCGUACACGGUGGAUGCCUUGGCAGUUGGAGGCGAUGAAGGACGUAUUAACUUGCGAUAAGCUUAGUCGAGCUAGUAAAAAGCACUUGAGACUAAGAUUUCCGAAUGGGGAAACCCACCUGUUUACAGGUAUCGUUAACUGAAUACAUAGGUUAACGAGGCGAACGCGGAGAACUGAAACAUCUAAGUACCCGUAGGAAAAGAAAUCAACCGAGAUUCCGGAAGUAGCGGCGAGCGAAACCGGAACAGCCCUUAAGCUUAUUUGUGAUUAGUGGAAUGCUCUGGAAAGUGCAGCGACACAGGGUGAUAGCCCCGUACAUGAAAAUCUAUAGUAAGUGAAAUCGAGUAGGUCGGGACACGUGUUAUCUUGACUGAAUAUAGGGGGACCAUCCUCUAAGGCUAAAUACUCCCAACUGACCGAUAGUGAACCAGUACCGUGAGGGAAAGGCGAAAAGAACCCCUGUGAGGGGAGUGAAAUAGAACCUGAAACCGUGUACGUACAAGCAGUAGGAGCAUACUUGUUAUGUGACUGCGUACCUUUUGUAUAAUGGGUCAGCGACUUAUAUUUUGUAGCGAGGUUAACCAAUUAGGGGAGCCGUAGGGAAACCGAGUCUUAACUGGGCGUAUAGUUGCAAGGUAUAGACCCGAAACCCGGUGAUCUAGCCAUGGGCAGGUUGAAGGUUGAGUAACAUCAACUGGAGGACCGAACCCACUAACGUUGAAAAGUUAGGGGAUGACUUGUGGCUAGGAGUGAAAGGCUAAUCAAACCGGGAGAUAGCUGGUUCUCCCCGAAAUCUAUUUAGGUAGAGCCUCGGACGAAUACUUACGGGGGUAGAGCACUGUUAAGGCUAGGGGGUCAUCCCGACUUACCAACCCUUUGCAAACUCCGAAUACCGUAAAGUAMUAUCCGGGAGACACACGGCGGGUGCUAACGUCCGUCGUGAAGAGGGAAACAACCCAGACCGCCAGCUAAGGUCCCAAAGUGUAUGUUAAGUGGGAAACGAUGUGGAAAGGCCCAGACAGCCAGGAGGUUGGCUUAGAAGCAGCCAUCCUUUAAAGAAAGCGUAAUAGCUCACUGGUCGAGUCGGUCUGCGCGGAAGAUGUAACGGGGCUAAACAUACCACCGAAGCUGCGGCUGCAUACUUAUGUAUGCGGGGUAGGGGAGCGUUCUGUAAGCCGUUGAAGGUGAACCGGGAGGUUUGCUGGAGGUAUCAGAAGUGCGAAUGCUGACAUGAGUAACGAUAAUGCGGGUGAAAAACCCGCACGCCGGAAGACCAAGGGUUCCUAUCCCAUGUUAAUCAGGGUAGGGUGAGUCGACCCCUAAGGCGAGGCGGAAACGCGUAGUCGAUGGGAAACGGGUUAAUAUUCCCGUACUCGGCAUGAAUGCGAUGGGGAGACGGAGCAGGCUAGGCAAGCAUGGCGUUGGUUGUCCAUGUGAAAGUAAGUAGGUUGAGAACUUAGGCAAAUCCGGGUUCUUAAGACUGAGAUACGAGACGAGUCACUACGGUGAUGAAGUUGUUGAUGCCAUACUUCCAGGAAAAUCCUCUAAGCUUCAGUUCAUGCUGAAUCGUACCCCAAACCGACACAGGUGGUCAGGUAGAGAAUACUAAGGCGCUUGAGAGAACUCGGGUGAAGGAACUAGGCAAAAUAGUACCGUAACUUCGGGAGAAGGUACGCUGCUGACGGUGAUAGGACUUGCUCCUUAAGCUGUUGGCAGUCACAGUAACCAGGUGGCUGGGACUGUUUAUUAAAAACACAGCACUGUGCAAAAUCGAAAGAUGACGUAUACGGUGUGACACCUGCCCGGUGCCGGAAGGUUAAUUGAUGGGGUUAUCUUCGGAGAAGCUCUUGAUCGAAGCCCCGGUAAACGGCGGCCGUAACUAUAACGGUCCUAAGGUAGCGAAAUUCCUUGUCGGGUAAGUUCCGACCUGCACGAAUGGUGUAACCAUGGCCACGCUGUCUCCACCCGAGACUCAGUGAAAUUGAAAUCGCAGUGAAGAUGCUGUGUACCCGCGGCUAGACGGAAAGACCCCGUGAACCUUUACUACAGCUUGGCACUGAACAUUGAACCUACAUGUGUAGGAUAGGUGGGAGACUUUGAAGCAGCGACGCUAGUUGUUGUGGAGUCGUCCUUGAAAUACCACCCUUGUAGUUUUGAUGUUCUAACGUAGGCCCCUAAUCGGGGUUGCGGACAGUGCCUGGUGGGUAGUUUGACUGGGGCGGUCUCCUCCCAAAGAGUAACGGAGGAGCACGAAGGUUUGCUAAGUACGGUCGGACAUCGUACGGUUAGUGUAAUGG
Pseudoalteromonas ulvae is the source of this 2311-nucleotide ribosomal RNA. It matches the Rfam family "Bacterial large subunit ribosomal RNA", at positions 1 to 2357 of the family's 2925-position model. The record is from Rfam. NCBI's taxonomy places the organism in Bacteria, Pseudomonadati, Pseudomonadota, Gammaproteobacteria, Alteromonadales, Pseudoalteromonadaceae.